Molecule: long non-coding RNA, 435 nt
Organism: Bombyx mori (domestic silkworm)
Lineage: Eukaryota; Metazoa; Arthropoda; Insecta; Lepidoptera; Bombycidae
Exons: 2
Source: RefSeq, a predicted model, not a curated record
GACUUUAACAGUUAACCAACAUUACCAUUAAGGAAAUAGUUAACUUUAACGUGUUGCGCCGAUAUAAUGUAUAAUACAACAAAUUCGACAAUACGACAAAUUAAUUAGCCAAAACUUCCGCGCCAGCUUUGAAACAAACAGCCUUGAAAAAACCAAACAAUAAAGCAAAACAAAGAUGUUUUACCGACUUUCCAAAAUUCACAAUAUUAUUAAUCAGAAUGAAUUAUCAACCGAACUGAAUAAUUACAUUUUUGUUCCAUCAAGUAAACAAAUUCAUUAAUGAUGAGAUUUGUUGCUAAAUAAUUCAAUACUAUGAAAUAUAAAACUUAUUUUCUGUUGAAAAUUAUUUAUGAAAUUCACGUCAAGAACAAAAGUUUGACAAUAAAUAAAUAGUAUGCAUGCGUGUGUGCGUCAAAUACAUGGAAGUGUGUGUAA